UAGGGAAUCUUCCGCAAUGGACGCAAGUCUGACGGAGCAACGCCGCGUGAGUGAAGAAGGAUUUCGGUUCGUAAAACUCUGUUGUUAGAGAAGAACAGCGCAUAGAGUAACUGUUAUGCGUGUGACGGUAUCUAACCAGAAAGCCACGGCUAACUACGUGCCAGCAGCCGCGGUAAUACGUAGGUGGCAAGCGUUGUCCGGAUUUAUUGGGCGUAAAGCGAGCGCAGGCGGUCAAUUAAGUCUGAUGUGAAAGCCCCCGGCUCAACCGGGGAGGGUCAUUGGAAACUGGUUUACUUGAGUGCAGAAGAGGGGAGUGGAAUUCCAUGUGUAGCGGUGAAAUGCGUAGAUAUAUGGAGGAACACCAGUGGCGAAGGCGACUCUCUGGUCUGUAGCUGUCGCUGAGGCUCGAAAGCGUGGGUAGCAAACAGG
Molecule: ribosomal RNA, 429 nt
Filed under: Bacteroidota bacterium
Lineage: Bacteria; Pseudomonadati; Bacteroidota
Description: Bacteroidetes bacterium partial 16S ribosomal RNA
Rfam family: Bacterial small subunit ribosomal RNA
Source: RNAcentral